ACUAUAAUAGUUUAAAUAAAACAAAGGUUUUGUAAACCUAAAUUGGCUAUCCUUAUAGUU
This 60-nucleotide transfer RNA is filed under the name Alectorobius rietcorreai. Its description in RNAcentral is "tRNA-Thr". The record is from RNAcentral. Lineage: Eukaryota; Metazoa; Arthropoda; Arachnida; Ixodida; Argasidae.